AGUCUAGGCUUAAAAAAAAUUAAGAAUAUCUUAUUAAUUGAGUUAUUUUCGUGAAUAGAUAAUUCGCCCGUCCAGCCAACUCUAACCGAGGCGUAGGAACAGAUUGCAUAGCGCGGCAGAACUGUGAGUUAAAGUCAUAUAGUCAACUGCACUUGUGUCAUGUUUAAAUUACAUGCAACGCUAGUACUAUGAUUAUUAUUAGCAUUAUUAUCACUAAUUUUAUUUGAUUAAUAAUUAUUACGAAUAAUA
Molecule: long non-coding RNA, 249 nt
Filed under: Ricinus communis (castor bean)
Lineage: Eukaryota; Viridiplantae; Streptophyta; Magnoliopsida; Malpighiales; Euphorbiaceae
Description: long non-coding RNA (RCOM_LNC000424)
Source: RNAcentral